GUGUCAGCAGCCGCGGUAAGACGUAGGGCGCGAGCGUUGUCCGGAUUUAUUGGGCGUAAAGAGCUCGUAGGCGGCUUGUCGCGUCGGCUGUGAAAUCCCGUGGCUCAACUGUGGGCGGGCAGCUGAUACGGGCAGGCUGGAGUUCGGUAGGGGAGACUGGAAUUCCUGGUGUAGCGGUGAAAUGCGCAGAUAUCAGGAGGAACACCGGUGGCGAAGGCGGGUCUCUGGGCCGAUACUGACGCUGAGGAGCGAAAGCGUGGGGAGCGAACAGGAUUAGAUACCCUGGUAGUCC
This 292-nucleotide ribosomal RNA is filed under the name uncultured bacterium. RNAcentral describes it as "partial 16S ribosomal RNA". It matches the Rfam family "Bacterial small subunit ribosomal RNA", at positions 505 to 796 of the family's 1533-position model. The record is from RNAcentral.